RNAcentral lists this long non-coding RNA (923 nucleotides) under Rattus norvegicus (Norway rat). RNAcentral's name for it is "long non-coding RNA NONRATT020123". Lineage: Eukaryota; Metazoa; Chordata; Mammalia; Rodentia; Muridae. The record is from RNAcentral.
UGCUAUCGAGAAGCUGACUUCACUCCAAGUUCAGCUCUGCCCACCCCGCUCCCCUCACUGAACUCAGAGAGAGCAAGGGCUCUGGGAAACUGCCCUUCACAAGAGAAGCUAGUCCCCCCUGCCUCCUCCUUCCUCUUGCAUUCCUCCCCCACAUCAGGGGAGGGCCAGGGGAGAUCAUUGUCUUUCUACCUGUAGAUCCAUGAGACCAUUGAGUCCAUAAAUCAGCUCAAGAUCCAGAGGGACUUCAUGCUAAGUUUCUCCAGAGACCCCAAAGGCUACGUCCAAGACCUGCUCCGCUCCCAGAGCCGUGAUCUCAAGGUGAAGACGGGGCUCAGGGGUCACUGAUGUGAAGACAAGCACACAGGGAGGGGAAGAGGAGCAUGCAACUCGGGCAGGUGAGGCACUUGGAACUCACCGCAGGCCCCGUGCUCCCUCCCAGGUGAUGACAGAUGUGGCCGGUAACCCCGAGGAAGAGCGCCGGGCUGAGUUCUACCACCAGCCCUGGUCCCAGGAAGCUGUCAGCCGCUACUUCUACUGUAAGGUAAUGGAGGCCCUGGAACAUGAGGCUUCCUUCUCCUUCAGUCCUAAGAGAGGCCUUGCCUCUCACCUGGCAACAGUCUUUGCUGCUGCCUAUGCCCAACGCCUGUCCACCACCCUACACCCCCAUGCAGUAGUCUCCUGGCUCCCAGACUCUUCCAGGGAAGGGGUGCCAGGAGGGGGUGCCCCUGGUCACUCACCAGGGUCAUUGUAACCCUGCCCCUGCUCACGCUUCCUCUAAAGAUCCAGCAGCGCAGGCAGGAGCUGGAGCAGUCACUAGUUGUGCGCAACACCUAGGAGCCUGUGAACACGCAUCACUGUGGACCAGCCUCGCUGCCCAGCAUGGACCCUGGGCUCUGGACUCCCUCUCCCGUGCUGUGCUGGGG